AGAGUUUGAUCCUGGCUCAGGACGAACGCUGGCGGCGUGCUUAACACAUGCAAGUCGAACGGUGAACUCGGAGCUUGCUCCGGGGGAUCAGUGGCGAACGGGUGAGUAACACGUGAGUAACCUGCCCCAGACUCUGGAAUAAGCGCUGGAAACGGCGUCUAAUACCGGAUACGAGACGGAGAGGCAUCUCUACCGUCUGGAAAGUUUCUCGGUCUGGGAUGGACUCGCGGCCUAUCAGCUUGUUGGUGAGGUAACGGCUCACCAAGGCAACGACGGGUAGCCGGCCUGAGAGGGCGACCGGCCACACUGGGACUGAGACACGGCCCAGACUCCUACGGGAGGCAGCAGUGGGGAAUAUUGCACAAUGGGCGAAAGCCUGAUGCAGCGACGCCGCGUGAGGGAUGACGGCCUUCGGGUUGUAAACCUCUUUCAGCAGGGAAGAAGCGAAAGUGACGGUACCUGCAGAAGAAGCACCGGCUAACUACGUGCCAGCAGCCGCGGUAAUACGUAGGGUGCGAGCGUUGUCCGGAAUUAUUGGGCGUAAAGAGCUUGUAGGCGGUUUGUCGCGUCUGCUGUGAAAAUCCGGGACUCAACCCCGGACUUGCAAUGGGUACGGGCAGACUAGAGUGUGGUAGGGGAGACUGGAAUUCCUGGUGUAGCGGUGAAAUGCGCAGAUAUCAGGAGGAACACCGAUGGCGAAGGCAGGUCUCUGGGCCACUACUGACGCUGAGAAGCGAAAGCAUGGGGAGCGAACAGGAUUAGAUACCCUGGUAGUCCAUGCCGUAAACGUUGGGCGCUAGGUGUGGGACUCAUUCCACGAGUUCCGUGCCGCAGCUAACGCAUUAAGCGCCCCGCCUGGGGAGUACGGCCGCAAGGCUAAAACUCAAAUGAAUUGACGG
This 899-nucleotide ribosomal RNA is filed under the name uncultured Micrococcineae bacterium. RNAcentral describes it as "bacterial SSU rRNA". It matches the Rfam family "Bacterial small subunit ribosomal RNA", at positions 8 to 916 of the family's 1533-position model. Lineage: Bacteria; Bacillati; Actinomycetota; Actinomycetes; Micrococcales. The record is from RNAcentral.